This 432-nucleotide ribosomal RNA is filed under the name uncultured eukaryote. RNAcentral describes it as "SSU rRNA". It matches the Rfam family "Eukaryotic small subunit ribosomal RNA", at positions 174 to 595 of the family's 1831-position model. The record is from RNAcentral.
CGACAAUUCCGGUAGUAAUAUCGGAAUGCUUUUAUUAGAUCAAAACCUUCUAGUUCUUUAACCGGAACUGUUUGUUGGUGACUCUAAAUAACUUUGUGUUGAUCGUAUGACCUUUGUGUCGACGACAUAUCUUUCAAGUGUCUGACUUAUCAACUUUAGACGGUACAUUAUAUGUCUACCGUGGUUGUAACGAGUACAGAGAAUCAGGGGUUUGGUUCUGGAGAGGCCGCCUGAGAAACGGCGACCACUUCCAAGGAAGGCAGCAGGCGCGCAAAAUUACCCCACUCUCAAAACGAGGAGGUAGUGAAGAGAAAUAACGAUGUUAGUCUUUUAUAGGCUGACAAUCGGAAUGGGAACACUGUAAACAGGUUAUCGAUUAACAAUUGGGAGGGCAAGUCUGGUGCCAGCAGCCGCGGUAAUUCCAGCUCCAAU